UUUUGGCUUGCAUGAACCUGCGGCACGCGUCAACUCAGUGCUGCGCGGAGAGCCCGGAGCUUCUUCGGCUGUUAAAGUGCACUUUUAACAUCAUGAGAUCACUCGACUCUGAGGAGGCGCUCGUACGGAAAAGCACGCUCAUUUAAUCCGCUGAGUUUUUACCAGAAAAGCAAACCUGCAAACUGGUGAAAACCCACCAAUCUUCUCGCAUCUGUCGUCUCGUCGCUGGAUCUAAAACAGACGCGACGGCGUUCCUUACAGACUGUUCACUAUGCAUGUUCAGCAGUCUUUCUUUGGCUUCACGCGCUCUGUAAUAUUUACACCUGUAUUUAUAUAUUUUAUUUGAUCUUAUUGUAUUUAGUUCUGUCAUGAUGAACUGUACAGAAGGUUUUUUGUUUAGUUUUUUUAUGUUAACAUCAAUGUGUGAUCAGUUUGCAGCGAUGUAAAAAACUGUUUGCUGUAGAAAUAAAAAGACCGAGAACUGAUCUCA
Molecule: non-coding RNA, 490 nt
Organism: Maylandia zebra (zebra mbuna)
Lineage: Eukaryota; Metazoa; Chordata; Actinopteri; Cichliformes; Cichlidae
Source: RefSeq, a predicted model, not a curated record